UGAUGUGACUGCCAGGGGAGUGUUCUCCAUAAAGACCCCCAGGUGCUGACUUGUGUUUACAGGUGAGGAGAAUUCCAGGGCUGUGUUUGCUCUGGAGAUCCCAGCUGAUAUACCACUAGUGCAGAUCCACACACAGAUAUGCUUAUUCUUCAACAAACAAAAUGCAUCCUGGCUUCCUAGGUUUCUCCCUCCCAUUGAGUAUGUUGUAGAUCUUGAAUCCAUCCCCUCAAAGUGCAGUGCUACACCGAAAAGUGACUAUGUACACCUGGCCCUAAAUUCAGCAGCUCUGCUCCCUGUGUGUAUUCAGCCUGAGAACUACUGGCUCUAGUGACAAGUGUAUUUUUGGACAGCUUUCUGGUGCCUGUUUGCCCUGCAGAGCCAACACAGCUCAGGGAGAGGAAGCUGUGGGACAUUAACAGAAUUGUUUACGAGGUUCCAGUCUGUGACACCCGUUCACACCCAUUGCCCACAUGGAGUUUCACAAGUAUCACAGAGGCCAUUGAUUGCCCUGCAGAAUCCUUGUUACUGGUGAUGACAUGGGAGAAGGCUAGAGGCUAGUUUGACUUUCAGGCCAGGUCUACGCUUUGCCAGUACAGCCCUGUUGGUCGGGGUGUGAUCCCUGAUCAAGACAGCUGUGCUAGCAAAAGCCACUAGUGUACCAGCAAAUGUGUUCUCUUACUGGUAUAGCUUGUUUCACAGGUGGGGGUGGUUUUGCAAUACCAGUACUAAGCUAUAGCUACCUCCAGACUAGGAGCACUUUGUGGCUGUAGUGUACUGGUCUUCCUAUACUGGUGAAGCACUCCUAGCAUAGACACAGCCUCAGGCUUGUCUAUGUUACAAAACUAUACUGCAUUUGAACAAGGUUAUGAAGAACCUGAAUUAGCUACAGUGAUGCUGAAACCAAUUUACCAUGAUCUGAACUGAUUACAAACUGGUGGUUAGCACAGUGUCAGCUGACUUGAUUAUCUCUUCCUGGAUUCUCAUGUGAUUUUGUAGUGUGGGCAAACCCUCAGAGCCCAGGCUGAGUGUGCAGGGCUGGUGGUAAGAAAAAUCCCCCUUUAAUUGUAAAUGUAGCACUAGAUACAAACACCACUGAAAGACCAUAGACACGGGAUCCUAUUAUUCUGUUUUUACUGAACUGCCCUCUAAUCAUGUUUGUUAAUCUUUUCUGAGCACCUUUAUUCAAGCAAUGCCCAGAAAAUUGAACACAGUACUCUGUGUGACCUCACCACAGCUGUGCAUAAUCUCACCCCUUUGCUCUGAGAUGGCCUCCUUCUGCCUAUGUAACCUAACAUUUUUUCCUAACUGUACAUGCAGCACUUACUGUAUAACCCUGGGCAAGUCA
Molecule: long non-coding RNA, 1345 nt
Organism: Mauremys mutica (yellowpond turtle)
Lineage: Eukaryota; Metazoa; Chordata; Testudines; Geoemydidae
Exons: 3
Source: RefSeq, a predicted model, not a curated record